Molecule: ribosomal RNA, 253 nt
Filed under: uncultured bacterium
Lineage: Bacteria
Also listed under: 1 other name
Description: partial 16S ribosomal RNA
Rfam family: Bacterial small subunit ribosomal RNA
Source: RNAcentral
UACGGAGGGUGCAAGCGUUAAUCGGAAUUACUGGGCGUAAAGGGUGCGUAGGUGGUUUAUUAAGUUAGGUGUAAAAUUCCUGGGCUUAACCUGGGCUUGAGACUUAAAACUGAUAGACUGGAGUAUAGGAGAGGGUAGUGGAAUUUCCGGUGUAGCGGUGAAAUGCGUAGAGAUCGGAAGGAACACCAGUGGCGAAGGCGGCUACCUGGCCAGAUACUGACACUGAAGCACGAAAGCGUGGGGAGCAAACAGG